RNAcentral lists this transfer RNA (62 nucleotides) under Mordellidae sp. 4 ACP-2013. RNAcentral describes it as "tRNA-Cys". The record is from RNAcentral. Lineage: Eukaryota; Metazoa; Arthropoda; Insecta; Coleoptera; Mordellidae.
GUUUAAUAGUCAAUUAUGAUUUUAGAUUGCAAAUCUAAAGAAGAACUAAGUUUUUAAAUCUA